RNAcentral lists this ribosomal RNA (1481 nucleotides) under Salmonella enterica subsp. enterica serovar Enteritidis. Its description in RNAcentral is "partial 23S ribosomal RNA". It matches the Rfam family "Bacterial large subunit ribosomal RNA", at positions 1338 to 2802 of the family's 2925-position model. The record is from RNAcentral. Lineage: Bacteria; Pseudomonadati; Pseudomonadota; Gammaproteobacteria; Enterobacterales; Enterobacteriaceae.
CGGAAGACCAAGGGUUCCUGUCCAACGUUAAUCGGGGCAGGGUGAGUCGACCCCUAAGGCGAGGCCGAAAGGCGUAGUCGAUGGGAAACGGGUUAAUAUUCCCGUACUUGGUGUUACUGCGAAGGGGGGACGGAGAAGGCUAUGUUGGCCGGGCGACGGUUGUCCCGGUUUAAGCGUGUAGGUGUGUGUUCCAGGUAAAUCCGGUUCACUUUAACACUGAGGCGUGACGACGAGGCACUACGGUGCUGAAGCAACAAAUGCCCUGCUUCCAGGAAAAGCCUCUAAGCAUCAGGUAACAUCAAAUCGUACCCCAAACCGACACAGGUGGUCAGGUAGAGAAUACCAAGGCGCUUGAGAGAACUCGGGUGAAGGAACUAGGCAAAAUGGUGCCGUAACUUCGGGAGAAGGCACGCUGACACGUAGGUGAAGUGAUUUACUCAUGGAGCUGAAGUCAGUCGAAGAUACCAGCUGGCUGCAACUGUUUAUUAAAAACACAGCACUGUGCAAACACGAAAGUGGACGUAUACGGUGUGACGCCUGCCCGGUGCCGGAAGGUUAAUUGAUGGGGUCAGCGCAAGCGAAGCUCCUGAUCGAAGCCCCGGUAAACGGCGGCCGUAACUAUAACGGUCCUAAGGUAGCGAAAUUCCUUGUCGGGUAAGUUCCGACCUGCACGAAUGGCGUAAUGAUGGCCAGGCUGUCUCCACCCGAGACUCAGUGAAAUUGAACUCGCUGUGAAGAUGCAGUGUACCCGCGGCAAGACGGAAAGACCCCGUGAACCUUUACUAUAGCUUGACACUGAACAUUGAGCCUUGAUGUGUAGGAUAGGUGGGAGGCUUUGAAGUGUGGACGCCAGUCUGCAUGGAGCCGACCUUGAAAUACCACCCUUUAAUGUUUGAUGUUCUAACGUGGACCCGUUACCCGGGUUGCGGACAGUGUCUGGUGGGUAGUUUGACUGGGGCGGUCUCCUCCUAAAGAGUAACGGAGGAGCACGAAGGUUGGCUAAUCCUGGUCGGACAUCAGGAGGUUAGUGCAAUGGCAUAAGCCAGCUUGACUGCGAGCGUGACGGCGCGAGCAGGUGCGAAAGCAGGUCAUAGUGAUCCGGUGGUUCUGAAUGGAAGGGCCAUCGCUCAACGGAUAAAAGGUACUCCGGGGAUAACAGGCUGAUACCGCCCAAGAGUUCAUAUCGACGGCGGUGUUUGGCACCUCGAUGUCGGCUCAUCACAUCCUGGGGCUGAAGUAGGUCCCAAGGGUAUGGCUGUUCGCCAUUUAAAGUGGUACGCGAGCUGGGUUUAGAACGUCGUGAGACAGUUCGGUCCCUAUCUGCCGUGGGCGCUGGAGAACUGAGGGGGGCUGCUCCUAGUACGAGAGGACCGGAGUGGACGCAUCACUGGUGUUCGGGUUGUCAUGCCAAUGGCACUGCCCGGUAGCUAAAUGCGGAAGAGAUAAGUGCUGAAAGCAUCUAAGCACGAAACUUGCCCCGA